This is a non-coding RNA of Dermacentor andersoni, 419 nucleotides long. The record is from RefSeq and is a predicted model, not a curated record. Lineage: Eukaryota; Metazoa; Arthropoda; Arachnida; Ixodida; Ixodidae.
UUGAUGCUUAGCGCAUUCCGGCGAGUUCGUGCACGCAGCUUGCAUGAGAGUUUCCUGCGUUUCCUGUGUUCUUUGUGUGCUUCGCUGUGACAUCUUUGGAAUAUUUCUGCGUGUUGCUCGCUUUUUAUGGACUUGUUGCCUCGAAGAUCGCCAUGAUCGCCUCCGACUCGGCGACAUCAAGGAUUCAAAAUGAGCUGGGGGAGGCCCCAGCUGGAACGGUUCACAUAGGUUGAAGGAGUGCACAUUGAGAAGGUUAUCCUGGCACAGUUUACCAUGGCCUGCCAUGGUGGACCAGGAAAGUUUGCAAGGGCCUUGCUUCACCAUGUGUUCACAGAGGAGGAGCUCAUGGGCCAUUUGCGCUUUGGAAAUAACACCAAGGGGCAAAAAAGGCCCUUGACCCCACCAGGGUCAGUGCUGUU